RNAcentral lists this ribosomal RNA (301 nucleotides) under uncultured bacterium. RNAcentral's name for it is "partial 16S ribosomal RNA". It matches the Rfam family "Bacterial small subunit ribosomal RNA", at positions 509 to 807 of the family's 1533-position model. The record is from RNAcentral.
CAGUAGCCGCGGUAAUACGGAGGGGGCUAGCGUUGUUCGGAAUUACUGGGCGUAAAGCGCACGUAGGCGGCGAUUUAAGUCAGAGGUGAAAGCCUGGAGCUCAACUCCAGAACUGCCUUUGAGACUGGAUUGCUUGAAUCACGGAGAGGUGGGUGGAAUUCCGAGUGUAGAGGUGAAAUUCGUAGAUAUUCGGAAGAACACCAGUGGCGAAGGCGGCCCACUGGACGUGUAUUGACGCUGAGGUGCGAAAGCGUGGGGAGCAAACAGGAUUAGAUACCCCCGUAGUCCCUGUCUCUUAUAC